GACGAACGCUGGCGGCGUGCUUAACACAUGCAAGUCGAACGGAAAGGCCCUGCUUGCAGGGUACUCGAGUGGCGAACGGGUGAGUAACACGUGGGUGAUCUGCCCUGCACUUCGGGAUAAGCCUGGGAAACUGGGUCUAAUACCGGAUAGGAGCCAUUUUUAGUGUGAUGGUUGGAAAGUUUUUUCGGUGUAGGAUGAGCUCGCGGCCUAUCAGCUUGUUGGUGGGGUAAUGGCCUACCAAGGCGGCGGCGGGUAGCCGGCCUGAGAGGGUGGACGGCCACAUUGGGACUGAGGGACGGCCCAGACUCCGACGGGAGGCAGCAGUGGGGAAUAUUGCACAAGGGGCGCAAGCCUGAUGCAGCGACGCCGCGUGGGGGAUGACGGCCUUCGGGUUGUAAACUCCUUUCGCUAGGGACGAAGCUUUUUGUGACGGUACCUAGAUAAGAAGCACCGGCUAACUACGUG
This 465-nucleotide ribosomal RNA is filed under the name uncultured bacterium. RNAcentral describes it as "partial 16S ribosomal RNA". It matches the Rfam family "Bacterial small subunit ribosomal RNA", at positions 28 to 507 of the family's 1533-position model. The record is from RNAcentral.